This 521-nucleotide ribosomal RNA is filed under the name uncultured bacterium. Its description in RNAcentral is "bacterial SSU rRNA". It matches the Rfam family "Bacterial small subunit ribosomal RNA", at positions 10 to 522 of the family's 1533-position model. The record is from RNAcentral.
AGUUUGAUCCUGGCUUCAGGAUGAACGCUUGGCGGCGUUGCCUAAUACAUGCCAAGUCCGAGCAGAAAUUAGAGACGCGUUUCGGACAAGUCAUCUUAAUGGAAAAGCGGCGGACGGGUGGGUAACGCGUAGGCAACCUGCCCUUAGCAGAGGAUAGCCAUUGGAAAACGAUGAUUAAAAACCUCAUAACGCUGAAGUAACACAUGUUACAUCAGCCAAAGAUUUAUCGGCUAAGGAUGGGGCCUGCGUCUGAUUAACUAGUUUGGUGAGGUAACGGCUCACCAAGGUGACGAUCAGUAGCCGACCUGAGAGGGUGAUCGGCCACAUUGGAACUGAGACACGGUCCAAACUUCUACGGAAGGCAGCAGUAAGGAAUCUUGCACAAUGGGGGAAACCCUGAUGCAGCAACGCCGCGUGAACGAUGAAGGCCUUCGGGUUGUAAAGUUCUGAUCUUGGGGAAGAAGAAAGUGACGGUACCCAAGGAGAAAGCCCCGGCUAAAUACGUGCCAGCCGCCGCGGUA